Molecule: ribosomal RNA, 536 nt
Filed under: uncultured bacterium
Lineage: Bacteria
Description: partial 16S ribosomal RNA
Rfam family: Bacterial small subunit ribosomal RNA
Source: RNAcentral
UAGGGAAUCUUCGGCAAUGGACGGAAGUCUGACCGAGCAACACCGCGUGAGUGAAGAAGGUUUUCGGAUCGUAAAGCUCUGUUGUAAGAGAAGAACGAGUGUGAGAGUGGAAAGUUCACACUGUGACGGUAUCUUACCAGAAAGGGACGGCUAACUACGUGCCAGCAGCCGCGGUAAUACGUAGGUCCCGAGCGUUGUCCGGAUUUAUUGGGCGUAAAGCGAGCGCAGGCGGUUAGAUAAGUCUGAAGUUAAAGGCUGUGGCUUAACCAUAGUACGCUUUGGAAAACUGUUUAACUUGAGUGCAAGAGGGGAGAGUGGAAUUCCAUGUGUAGCGGUGAAAUGCGUAGAUAUAUGGAGGAACACCGGUGGCGAAAGCGGCUCUCUGGCUUGUAACUGACGCUGAGGCUCGAAAGCGUGGGGAGCAAAACAGGAUUAGAUACCCUGGUAGUCCACGCCGUAAACGAUGAGUGCUAGGUGUUAGACCCUUUCCGGGGUUUANUGCCGCAGCUAACGCAUUAAGCACUCCGCCUGGGGAG